AUAUUCUAGCCAGUAGGACAGACUGAUUGCUUCAGCAACAUCUGUUUAUGCUGUCCAUAACCAAUUUUUCUUUGUAUGUCUAUUACAGCUUACUUUAGCAAUUGUAAUGAACAGCAUAACUAUUUGUGUGACUACACUUGGUAUAAUUCUAUUAAGCAUUGAGAUUGCAACUUUUGCAUUAAAUGCAACCACAUACAAUUGGUCAAAUGCACUUCGCCCUCGGAAAUCUCACUGUCGGAAUCCUUGGAAAUCAUACCACGCACAACUUCUAUUUCUUCAUAAUUUGCAAAGAACCAGUGUGACUCCAGUCAAGAACAAAAGAUUAAUUGUGAAUUAGCGAAGAACUCUAAUUUUUUCAAGAAGCCACAUGGAAAACGCAUUCUA
Molecule: long non-coding RNA, 384 nt
Filed under: Gorilla gorilla gorilla (western lowland gorilla)
Lineage: Eukaryota; Metazoa; Chordata; Mammalia; Primates; Hominidae
Description: lncRNA (ENSGGOG00000044505.1)
Source: RNAcentral